AUGCUCAAUUUUUUCCCUUCUUUUGUUGUAGAAAAAUAUCCGGUAAUCUACACUCAGACAAAAGGAUGGAAAAUUCUUCAUCUCGGAAACCAGCAUGGUGGUACCUACAGAAGCACAUUAGAUAUGACAAGGAUGCACAACAUGAAGAGACAACUCAUUUUCAGAGACUGCAGCAUGAGGAGCUCCGUUGAGGUUUCUUGGAGCAGCCCUCGUUCUGCAACUGGUGAAGCAAGACAGGGGAAGGGAGGGAGCAGAUUUCCACCUGAUUUUCUCCACGUGCUUGAAGACGAGGAGUUUCUGCUAACUGCUGCCAGGCCAGGAGCUGGGACUGCCCAAGCCACUGACACCCAGUGGUCCCAGACACGCAAACCAGCACCAGAACCCGAGCAAGUCUCCAGGCUGCUUCACCGGUGA
This 414-nucleotide long non-coding RNA is filed under the name Anser cygnoides (Swan goose). RNAcentral's name for it is "lncRNA (ENSACDG00005000658.1)". Lineage: Eukaryota; Metazoa; Chordata; Aves; Anseriformes; Anatidae. The record is from RNAcentral.